RNAcentral lists this ribosomal RNA (427 nucleotides) under uncultured bacterium. RNAcentral's name for it is "bacterial SSU rRNA". It matches the Rfam family "Bacterial small subunit ribosomal RNA", at positions 355 to 774 of the family's 1533-position model. The record is from RNAcentral.
UGGGGAAUUUUGGACAAUGGGCGCAAGCCUGAUCCAGCCAUGCCGCGUGCAGGAUGAAGGCCUUCGGGUUGUAAACUGCUUUUGUACGGAACGAAAAGACUCCUUCUAAUAAAGGGGGUCCAUGACGGUACCGUAAGAAUAAGCACCGGCUAACUACGUGCCAGCAGCCGCGGUAAUACGUAGGGUGCAAGCGUUAAUCGGAAUUACUGGGCGUAAAGCGUACUCAGGCGGUUAUGCAAGACAGAGGUGAAAUCCCCGGGCUCAACCUGGGAACUGCCUUGGUGACUGCAUAGCUAGAGUACGGUAGAGGGGGAUGGAAUUCCGCGUGUAGCAGAGAAAUGCGUAGAUAUGCGGAGGAACACCGAUGGCGAAGGCAAUCCCCUGGACCUGUACUGAUGCUCAUGCACGAAAGCGUGGGGAGCAAACA